RNAcentral lists this ribosomal RNA (465 nucleotides) under uncultured bacterium. RNAcentral describes it as "bacterial SSU rRNA". It matches the Rfam family "Bacterial small subunit ribosomal RNA", at positions 329 to 792 of the family's 1533-position model. The record is from RNAcentral.
AUCCAGACUCCUACGGGAGGCAGCAGUGAGGAAUAUUAGUCAAUGGCCGGAAGGCUGAACCAGCCAAGCCGCGUGAGGGAGGAAGGCGCAGAGCGUCGCAGACCUCUUUUGCCGGGGGACAAAAGGCCGGACUCGUCCGGUCCUGAGGGUACCCGGAGAAAAAGCAUCGGCUAACUCCGUGCCAGCAGCCGCGGUAAUACGGAGGAUGCGAGCGUUAUCCGGAUUUAUUGGGUUUAAAGGGUGCGCAGGCGGAGGUGCAAGUCAGCGGUCAAAUUGCGGGGCUCAACCCCGUACUGCCGUUGAAACUGCAUCCCUUGAGUGCGCGAGAAGUAUGCGGAAUGCGUGGUGUAGCGGUGAAAUGCUUAGAUAUCACGAAGAACUCCGAUUGCGAAGGCAGCUCACUGGACUGCAACUGACACUGAGGCUCGAAAGUGUGGGUAUCAAACAGGAUUAGAUCCCCUUGUA